GUACCAGCUUGCGAGUUACCACGUGUGUAACUUUGUGGGUGGUUGUUUUGACGGGGAUAUUUUAUAUUUUAAUGUGUGACUGGUAAUUUAGACUUGACAGGUGUUCGGUUCGAGGCUCGAGUAAAGUAUGGUAAUUAACCAGGUAAGUCAUAAUGCAGCUAGACCUUAAUGAUUAUUUAUCCGCGUUUAAUAACAAAUACUUAUAUAACAGUAUUUCAUGUUGAUGCAAUUCUCAGUAAUGACUUGAUGUUUGUUUAAAUCUUGGUUUAACUUGCUUUAGUUGAGUCGCAUGUUUCCUUGAGUUGAUUGCAACUUUAAGACGCCGCACGCUUUUUGCUUAAAACGGUUCGCGUUUUUAGUAAACAACAGAUUUAGAACGUCGCGUUAAGCACACGGUGCAGUCGUCUUUUUUAGUUCAGUCAGUUAUUGUACUUCUGCGUUUCAGUGUAACAGGUUUUCUCAUUUAGGUUUCAAAACGAGUAUUUGCAGCACUUUGUUUAUAUCAGACAGAACGCAAGGAGACGGUAUUCGAUUAAUUUAUAUUUAAUUAGGAUCCUAUUACGUCUAGGAACCGGUAGGUUUAGCAACGUAUAUCUAUAGCUUGUCGUUUAUGUCAAUCAAGCGACCUGAAAUACGUUCCCAAGAAAAUCUAUGCAGAAGUAACUUUGCUCCGGAUCUAAUUCUCCUCCGUCACGGUGAGCCAGAGAGUAGUUGACAGGCACAACCUCCACGUUAAGUACAGAACCUGUGCAGAUAGAGUAGCAAAUACCAGGUUAAUUGAUGCAACAAUAAAGAGAAGAAAAUUAGCAACAGAACUGCAUUAGUUAUACACACGCUGCAGUGCAGAAAUACAUGAAACUAUUACCUCCUGCGAUGCCACAAUGAACCUAUAUAGUUGAAGUACACGCCCAGUUAAUAAGCAGAUUAUUGAAACUUGUUGGUUGUGACUUCAAACUCACUUUCAAUGUUUUUCCCAUGGGACCGAGAUUGGAAUUCACAGCUGUUCUGGAGCCGAGGUUGUACGACAGCUGUGACGUGUUUAUCAUGUGAUACAACCGCAGUGAAAGUUUUAUUUGUGGACUUUACAAAUCAUGCACUUCUAGAAACAACACCCGAUAAUACAA
Ciona intestinalis (vase tunicate) is the source of this 1124-nucleotide non-coding RNA. The record is from RefSeq and is a predicted model, not a curated record. NCBI's taxonomy places the organism in Eukaryota, Metazoa, Chordata, Ascidiacea, Phlebobranchia, Cionidae.